UUGUUGGUGAGGUAACGGCUCACCAAGGCUUCGACGGGUAGCUGGUCUGAGAGGACGAUCAGCCACACUGGGACUGAGACACGGCCCAGACUCCUACGGGAGGCAGCAGUGGGGAAUCUUGCACAAUGGGCGAAAGCCUGAUGCAGCAACGCCGCGUGAGGGACGAAGGCUUUCUGAGUUGUAAACCUCUUUCAGCAGGGACGAUUGUGACGGUACCUGCAGAAGAAGCCCCGGCCAACUACGUGCCAGCAGCCGCGGUAAUACGUAGGGGGCAAGCGUUGUCCGGAUUUAUUGGGCGUAAAGAGCUCGUAGGCGGCUUGGCAAGUCGGAUGUGAAACCUCCAGGCUCAACCUGGAGUCGCCAUUCGAUACUGCCAUGGCUAGAGUUUGGUAGGGGACCACGGAAUUCCUGGUGUAGCGGUGAAAUGCGCAGAUAUCAGGAGGAACACCAGCGGCGAAGGCGGUGGUCUGGGCCAAUACUGACGCUGAGGAGCGAAAGCGUGGGGAGCGAACAGGAUUAGAUACCCUGGUAGUCCACGCCGUAAACGUUGGGCACUAGGUGUGGGGACCUAUCGACGGUUUCUGUGCCGCAGCUAACGCAUUAAGUG
Molecule: ribosomal RNA, 607 nt
Filed under: uncultured Actinomycetes bacterium
Lineage: Bacteria; Bacillati; Actinomycetota; Actinomycetes
Description: bacterial SSU rRNA
Rfam family: Bacterial small subunit ribosomal RNA
Source: RNAcentral